UACGUAGGGGGCAAGCGUUGUCCGGAAUCAUUGGGCGUAAAGCGCGCGUAGGCGGCCCGGUAAGUCCGCUGUAAAAGUCAGGGGCUCAACCUCUGGCCUGCAUCCGAUACUGCCCGACUAGAGGUAGGUAGGGGAGAUCGGAAUUCCUGGUGUAGCGGUGAAAUGCGCAGAUAUCAGGAGGAACACCGGUGGCGAAGGCGGAUCUCUGGGCCUUACCUGACGCUGAGGCGCGAAAGCUAGGGGAGCAAACAGG
This 253-nucleotide ribosomal RNA is filed under the name uncultured bacterium. Its description in RNAcentral is "partial 16S ribosomal RNA". It matches the Rfam family "Bacterial small subunit ribosomal RNA", at positions 524 to 776 of the family's 1533-position model. The record is from RNAcentral.